Molecule: small RNA, 2539 nt
Filed under: Pan troglodytes (chimpanzee)
Lineage: Eukaryota; Metazoa; Chordata; Mammalia; Primates; Hominidae
Description: retained intron
Source: RNAcentral
AAACUAGAAGCACAUGGCCGAGGAGCCUGAACAGGCACCUCCUAUCUAGGCAGGGAAGCUGUGUAAUCAGGAGCUUGUGUGGUGCACUCCAGUCAGAGCUGGGACUCUUAUCCUGGGCCCGUUUUUCAUAGCACCAGCCAAGGGAGAGCGUCCUCUCCACCCUAGCGGCAGAGCUGCUACCAGGACCAGGUGGGCCAGCCCCAGAUGUGCUGCUUGUGCUACUUGGAGCCAGGCAAAUGGGUGUUCCUUUGGAACGGCCCUCAGGAACUCACUGGGGUAUUUGGUGGAAAGACUGCCACGGGCAUUUUGCAUGUUGGAGCUACAGAUGGUGUCCUUCCUGCCAGGUGUGUGUGGAGGCCAGUAUGAAGCUGAAAAAGCAGGUGACAGUGUGUGGGGCUGCCAUCUUCUGUGUGGCAGUCUUCUCGCUCUACCUCAUGCUGGACCGAGUGCAACACGAUCCCACCCGACACCAGAAUGGUGGGAACUUCCCCCGGAGCCAAAUUUCUGUGCUGCAGAACCGCAUUGAGCAGCUGGAGCAGCUUUUGGAGGAGAACCAUGAGAUUAUCAGCCAUAUCAAGGACUCCGUGCUGGAGCUGACAGCCAACGCAGAGGGCCCGCCCGCCAUGCUGCCCUACUACACGGUCAAUGGCUCCUGGGUGGUGCCACCGGAGCCCCGGCCAAGCUUCUUCUCCAUCUCCCCCCAGGACUGCCAGUUUGCUUUGGGGGGCCGGGGUCAGAAGCCAGAACUGCAGGUAAGAGUCAGAGCUGGCAGGGACGUACAGUGGCCGCGACUGGGGUACUGAGCUGCAGUUCACCUGGCAGAUGCUCACUGUGUCGGAGGAGCUGCCGUUUGACAACGUGGAUGGUGGUGUGUGGAGGCAAGGCUUCGACAUCUCCUACGACCCGCACGACUGGGAUGCUGAAGACCUGCAGGUGUUUGUGGUGCCCCACUCUCACAAUGACCCAGGCUGGAUCAAGACCUUUGACAAGUACUACACAGAGCAGACCCAACACAUCCUCAAUAGCAUGGUGUCUAAGCUGCAGGAGGACCCCCGGCGGCGCUUCCUCUGGGCAGAGGUCUCCUUCUUCGCCAAGUGGUGGGACAACAUCAAUGUCCAAAAGAGAGCGGCAGUCCGAAGGCUGGUGGGAAACGGGCAGCUGGAGAUUGCGACAGGAGGCUGGGUGAUGCCAGAUGAGGCCAAUUCCCACUACUUUGCAUUGAUUGACCAGCUCAUCGAAGGACACCAGUGGCUGGAGAGAAAUCUUGGUGCAACCCCCCGCUCUGGCUGGGCAGUGGACCCCUUUGGAUACAGCUCCACCAUGCCUUACCUGCUGCGCCGUGCCAACCUCACCAGCAUGCUGAUUCAGAGAGUGCACUAUGCCAUCAAGAAGCACUUUGCUGCCACCCACAGCCUAGAGUUCAUGUGGAGGCAGACAUGGGACUCGGACUCCAGCACAGACAUCUUCUGUCACAUGAUGCCCUUCUACAGCUAUGACGUCCCCCAUACCUGUGGCCCGGAUCCCAAGAUCUGCUGCCAAUUUGAUUUCAAACGCCUGCCUGGUGGGCGCAUCAACUGCCCUUGGAAGGUGCCACCCCGGGCCAUCACAGAGGCCAACGUGGCAGAGAGGGCAGCCCUGCUUCUGGACCAAUACCGGAAGAAGUCCCGGCUGUUCCGAAGCAACGUCCUCCUGGUGCCUCUUGGAGAUGACUUCCGAUAUGACAAGCCCCAGGAGUGGGAUGCCCAGUUCUUCAACUACCAGCGGCUCUUUGACUUCUUCAACAGCAGGCCUAACCUCCAUGUGCAGGCCCAGUUUGGCACUCUUUCUGACUAUUUUGAUGCCCUGUACAAGAGGACAGGGGUGGAGCCAGGGGCCCGGCCUCCAGGGUUUCCUGUGCUGAGCGGGGAUUUCUUCUCCUAUGCGGACCGGGAGGAUCAUUACUGGACAGGCUAUUACACUUCCCGGCCCUUCUACAAGAGCUUAGACCGAGUCCUGGAAGCCCACCUGCGGGGGGCAGAGGUUCUGUACAGCCUGGCUGCAGCUCACGCUCGCCGCUCUGGUCUGGCUGGCCGGUACCCACUGUCUGAUUUCACCCUCCUGACGGAAGCUCGGCGCACACUGGGGCUCUUCCAGCAUCACGAUGCCAUCACUGGCACGGCCAAGGAGGCUGUGGUGGUGGACUAUGGGGUCAGGCUUCUGCGCUCCCUUGUCAACCUGAAGCAGGUCAUCAUUCAUGCAGCCCACUAUCUGGUGCUGGGGGACAAGGAGACCUACCACUUUGACCCUGAGGCGCCCUUCCUCCAAGUGGAUGACACUCGCUUAAGUCACGACGCCCUCCCAGAGCGCACGGUGAUCCAGCUGGAUUCGUCGCCCAGGUAACCUGGACUACGCCAUGUGCAGAGAGGAAGAGCCAUUCCCUGGCUCUCAGGCCCCUCUGCCCCAGCAUGUGCUGAACCAGUGCAGGGCGCUUGCCCUGGCCGGAAGCAGCAGCCUCCUGGGUCAGCCCACCUUCUACGCACAGGUUUGUGGUCCUAUUCAA